Non-coding RNA from Solanum lycopersicum (tomato), 71 nucleotides. Lineage: Eukaryota; Viridiplantae; Streptophyta; Magnoliopsida; Solanales; Solanaceae. The record is from RefSeq and is marked provisional.
UAGGGCUACACUCUAUUGGCAUGCAACUUGAUCAAAUAUUUGAGCUGAAAUGCCAAAGGAGAGUUGCCCUA